UACGUAGGCAGCGAGCGUUGUUCGGAGUUACUGGGCGUAAAGGGUGUGUAGGCGGUUCUUUAAGUUUGGUGUGAAAUCUCCCGCUUAACCGGGAGGUGCGCCGAAUACUGAGGGACUAGAGUACGGGAGAGGAAAGUGGAAUUCCGGGUGUAGCGGUGGAAUGCGUAGAGAUCGGAAGAACACCGGUGGCGAAGGCGGCCUGCUGGGCAGUUGCUGACACUGAGGCGCGACAGCGUGGGGAGCAAACAGG
Molecule: ribosomal RNA, 250 nt
Filed under: uncultured bacterium
Lineage: Bacteria
Description: partial 16S ribosomal RNA
Rfam family: Bacterial small subunit ribosomal RNA
Source: RNAcentral